UUCCUCAGGCCUCACACAGUCUCUUUUUCAAGUGAAACUACAGGAUGCUGGUGGGAGUUUUGCCACGGAGAAGGGGUAAGGAGAGCCCCUGAUGGAUGCCAUGCCAUCUCAGGAGACAGGGAGUUUCCCUGCCAGAGCCAGCUGCAGGACCAGGCCUACCCUGGGUCUCCAGGAUUGGGCUCAGAAGAAUGACAGGCACCAUAUAGAAGAAGAAAUACAAGCCUCUGUCAUGAAUAUCUUACAAAACCCCCAGUCCUGCAGAUCCAGGUCAAAAUUGUACAGCUUUAUUCAGGCUAAGCAUUGAAUAAAUAUGGCAAAGGAACAAAACUCCUCAACAUUGCUGAGCGGAGCUGUACAGAGCUGCGGAAAUUGGUACCCUGGCCACAGCAUGGGUGGACACAUUCCUUGGAGUUAAGCAGAAGACUUUCUGUCAGACCAAUGCAAACUCUGUAAAUCCUGCAAACAAAUCUGGCUCCUUUACCCUCAGCCAGAUUCAGCAUCAUUCCUGCACUUACAGCCCACUAAAGUCAACGUUCAAAUUCUCCUUUUAAACCUGGAAAGAGCAUCACAUCAUGCUCCACGAUCAACACAGGGAUGAGCGAUCCAGCCAAGCAGUUAUAUGACUUUUAAUCUUAUCCCAAAAAAUCAGUAGUUUGUAUUUGCACUGGCCAAGUAGUGUGCCAGGUAAGACAUGGGGGCCGGUCCUGUGGAUCCCCAUGCCACGCUGGUGGCAGCUGCCCCCCUCUGCCAGGUAGCUGAGUCCCCUUUAAACUAAAUGCUUGGAGGCUUUCCUGUUAUUAUUUUAUACAGUCAAAAUCAGAAGAGUGUUGGGGACACCCCCUGCCCAUGUUGGAGCAUUGUGGUCAUGUAGGAGGCCAGCCCCCAACUCCACCCUCACUGAUCCCCUGCCAGCACCGGCUGCCGGCUGGAAACCACACACGCUUCAC
This is a non-coding RNA of Phalacrocorax carbo (great cormorant), 947 nucleotides long. The record is from RefSeq and is a predicted model, not a curated record. Lineage: Eukaryota; Metazoa; Chordata; Aves; Suliformes; Phalacrocoracidae.